CUUGCUCACAUGUGCCAGCCUGGGCCUCCACCCUCACCACACCUACCCUCCUGCCUCCUCCUCGUCCAACAAGCCUGCGCCUGCAGUGCAAACACGCCGAGCUCACCCCACACAUGCACAUCCCCAUGCAAAACCCAACCGAACCGAGGGUGGAAGCUGUGGGAAAGAGGCGGGAAUGGAGAAGGUGGUUAACCAGAAAGAGAAAACAGGAAUCCAAGUUGGAAAAUUCAGUUCUCAAUGAACAUAAUGACCUUCAUAAUUUUCUUCUCUGUAGCAGAUAUUUUGAUGGCUAUUCCCAAGGACUUCACGUUUAUGCAAGAUAACUGGUCUGACAUUCCUGUGUUAUCAAAUCUCCCUUCAGACACUUCCAGAAUCUGGAGAGUGGUUGUGAGCUGAUAACACUGUAGGAGUGCUAGUACCAACAAUGACUUUGGAUCUUGGGGUCCUCGUACCCUCAUGAAAUAGCCCUGUUCACCUUGUAGAACUGUGUCUUCUCUCCUUGGAAAUGUUUAAUGUCUGGCUGUCACGGCCAGUUUUACUAUUUAGGACAUGCGCACAUACAUCAACCUUAGGCAGAGCAUUAAGAAGAGAGAAUCCUUGUCUCCAUCUUUUCCCUUUCACUUCCCAAUUCCCCAGGCAUCAAUGCCCCGAUUCCUUUCCCCAGGGUUUAUCUCAAAGCAUGAAGACCAGGCAUGCUGUGGUUGGGCCAGCCAGGAUGCCAUUUACUCCACCAGAGGGAAGAGUCAAUGCACUGAGGACAAUUCCUGUAACUUUUCAGCACCUGAGGGUGUCGGAGAAGAAUGUGGUGAGACCAUCCAUCCAUGCUUCUGUGUCUUAUCCUCCCUGGACAUGCCAUCCGUGGACUUCAAAUCCGUCUCCGUGGGAAGCAAGCCCCAGGUUGUGCGUCUAUCGCAAACCGCGUCUCCAUCUUUGCGAACCAAGCUCAGUUUACUUUCACGUAUACAAAUGGGGCUGCUGGCCAGAGGCCUCCCAGGGAUUUCAGCGCGUGUGCUACUGACAGCAAUUCUCUCUCUCACUGAUUUAGAACGUCCACCUUGGUAUGGCAUGCAUCUACUUCUUAACCUUUAUUUACUUUGAAUGUUGAUCCCAGCACACCAUUUGCAGAAAACACAAAGGUGUUUCAAAAGAGCUGACAGGACCUAGUGGCUUGACACCCAGGUCUCCUGUCUUACCGGUCAACUAAGAGUAGCAGCAAUGCAGCUGAUGGAAAUAUCACGCCCAUGAGAGUCAGACCAACUGGUUAAACUCUUGGCUCUGCCAUGUGGAAGCUGUGUGGCUUAGCACUGAUUUCUACUGGGAACAAGUUUCUACUCCAUUCCCACGCCACAGUCAGAGAGUUGAGGGGGCAAAUAGGUCUUUACCCGGAAGCCCUGGAAACCUGAUCGCACGGUUGGCUGUGUGCCACCUGGUGGUGGAAAGAGGUAAAGCAGCAUCCUGAGGACAGAGUUUUGGAGCAAGAGGGACUUUUUAAAAUGACUUUAAUCUUGCCCCCUUAUUUUCAAUGGAGGAAAUUCAGGCUUAGAGAGAAUGACCGGCUUGUCUGAGUUCUCACAGGGGUAGAGUGUUGUGGUUAAGAGCAAGCAUUCUGGCGUCGCUGUGUCUGAAUCCAGCCUUGGCAGUCAGGAGCUGGCAGUGUAACCUUGGGCAAGUUUUGUAACUUCUCAGUAAUCAGGUUUCUUAUCUAUGAAAUCAUGCUCGCCACCUCAAGGGUUUUUAAGAUGACUAAAUUAGACAAUGCGUGUAGAAGUGCUUAGAACUGUGCCUGACUUCGGUAAGAGAUAAAUCUCUUACAGCAAUUUAUCCAUCUUCAAUAAUUUUCCCUACAAUGGAGAACACUCUUGCGAUUUCUCAUUCUGACCUGAGAGUAGGAGAAUGAAGAAUCGUAAAGACCAUAGAAGAAAGCAGCAGCAGAUAUCUGGCUUUCGGAGGGAACAUUUGACUCUGGUCUUUGAGUAAAGGGAGAGUGGAAGCUGCCAUUGGAUGCCAUUGUGGCUCAAAUUCAUCACCGCAGAUUCAAUGCCUUGGGUACUCUAUCAAUAUUUGCUAAAUGAGUGAAGGGAAAGGGGCCUGAGCACAGGGCUUGUGGACAGGAGUGACUCUUGUCUCAGAAAAGAGAGAUAGGAAAGAGAACUCAGAGAAGUCUCAUUUGGCCCUGUCCACUUGUGGCCCCAAAGGCCAGCUGGGAACCACUGCAGCAGGAAUUUCUCUGGCUUCCUCUGUUCUUAUAGUAAUGACAUUUACAAAGCCCACUUACUUAAUGCUACAGAUACCGUAUUCUUUCAAUAAGUGUGGACACCUUCAUCCUGUCUGUGGCUGGUCUGGCAGUUCCAUUGAAAACAGGACAGGUGAACCCUGCCAGAAGCCAGGGAGACAGGAGGGAAGAAAGGAAAUGAAUACCUCCACCUCUUUCUCCUCCUUCUCUCUAAUCUACUAAUGGUGCCUCCCAUGGGUCUGACCCAAGUCAGAGCCAGGGGCCAAGGAGCCCAGGUGAUGCAGCCCAGAGCCGUCAGCCUGCCAGGCUGAGGAACAGCUCAGAACACGGAUCCGAGGGAGCAAUGGAGAAGAAUAUGCACAGCUCGUACAUAUGCAUAGGAAGUUUAAAUUUUUCUGUUAUUUAUAUAUUCAACAGUACCUCUCUCAAUUUGAAGAAGUUCUUUAUAACCUCAUCUUAUGGUAUUGUAUUUCCACUCGUGGUGAAAAAAAAAAAGGAUUUUUUUCCCUUUAUCCUUCCCCAAUCCCUUUGCUUAUUCUCCUCCAAGUUCUUGUUGUGGCUCACACCCAGUAUCCACUAUGAUGGUGGAUAUUAGGAACUUAGAUGGAAAUGGAUAGAGAAACAGACAAGUGCACUUUUCUAGAACAUUCCUCACCUUCCCCAACCUUCAGUUUGUUCUCAGGGGCCUGCCCAUGAUGCUGGUGCCUAUGCAGAGUCAAGGAGGGAAAGAUGGAAAGAGGGUGAAGUGGGAGACUCAUGGAGAAGGAAAAGGAGAGAAAGGCUCGAUGGUGUCCUGAUUUGCAGUAGGCACCAUAGCUAAGGUUCCUUCACUCUAUUUCUAUAGGCCCAUGGACCCACUCAUUGAAUCAAUUAAUAUUUAUUGAAUAUAUAAUUGGGCCAGACACCGUGCUAAGCACUGAUGAGCAAUGCACAGCCCUGCCUGUAGGGAUCUUAGAGUCUACUUAUAUUUCACUGGUGCUGACAGUGUACAGCAGUUCACACGUAUCACCCGAUACAGGAUGUGCCCGAGACAGGAUGGAGCCCUGAGGAGGGCACUGAAAAGUUAGGGGAGGCUUCCUGAGUUGACUCUUAGGAACCGAGUAUGGGGCCAAGAGAUGAACAGAUGAAGGGAGCGGAGGGAGGAGAGGACGCACUGGCAGAAGGGAGAUCUUGUGCAAAGGCACAAAACAGCCAGAAGAGUUUGAGGCUGUUCUGGGAGACUGGGGCAAAGCGUGUAGGAAGCCCGGAGAGGAGGCUCAGUUGAAGUAGGCAGGUCCCAGAGCACCUGAAGGAUACGGUAAGUACUUCGAUUUUAUUCUGAGGAGAACAGGAAGGCAUCAAAGAGUUCCUCUCAGAGAGUAACUUGGCAAACACCAGUGUUAAAAACAAUCAUGGCGGCCGUAGUGAGGAGGCUGAGUGGGGCUGAGAAAUGGGAGUAGAGGGCUCUUACAGUAAACUGGGCAACUGAUGGCAAAUCCUGACCUUAGCUGGCUGCAAUCAGAGACUGGGAAUAAGGGAUGACACAGUCCAUAAAGAGAGGGCGGAGAGAGACGGCAUCCAGGAACAUCAGCUUCAGUUUCUGCCUCAAGUAAUUUGUCUUUUCCGCUUACACAAAAUUACUCCGUGAAUUUUGCUCCCUGUUUCAGUUAAAUGCAACACGGAGAGGAGAGAAAACCCUUUCUAGAUAAACAUCUAUUCCUUACAGAACCCACAGUCUCUACUGUCUACUUUGUUUAUGAAUUUCUACUUGAUUAUCAGAGAGAUGUGACUCUGAUCACAUCAAGCCCUUGAGGGCUUGUUCUUGGCAACACUAAGUCCCGUGGAAACUCUUGCUGGAACAAUCCAGUGCUCCCAAGCUCCCAGGUUAGGGUGUGAUGUGUGUCUCUGCCCAGACGCCUUGAGUGCGGGCAGCAACGCAGACCAUUGCCUUCAGCAAGGCGAAGGGGAUCCUGGCUGUAUGGUUUUUACCAUUUUCCAUCUUUAAUUGGAUGACUUUCUUUUAAAAUUCUUCCAGUUCGUUGAUGUGGAACAGCUACAGUUAAAACAUGUUCCACAAACUGACUCAACAAGCUUACCUGGUUUAUCAUUGACUGGCUCCGUGUCAAACCCCUAAGUUUAUAUCUGUCCCCCGGAGACUGGACAUGGACUCCAUUUGUAGAAAAGAGCUAUUUUGGAAUGAAUGUUGCUGCUCCCCAUUUUCUUUGACAGCUUCUUCCCAAAUGUCAUGAGAAGCCUCAGGAGGACAGUUUGGGGUAAUCUGAAGUCCAUAUUCCCACCUGUAACCCGUGAGACUGAGUCAAGACCAGCUGACCUUUGAAGCAGAAAGAUCAUGUAUAAAUCUGAUUCUCCGUGACAUUUCGGCCCAGACCAGAGCCCACGAGAAAACUUCAGGCGCUACAGCUGCAGAGCUGUAACCCCUCUCCUGGUGGCACAGCACUUCUGCCACAGUGCUGGUCCCUAAGGGAAGAGGACCAUCAAGAGAAUAAGCCGCAGUCGACAGGGGGACGUUCUACAGCAUUGACAGUGGAGACCGUGCCAGGGGACGGCCAGAAACUGCAGGGAACAUGGGGCCAAGGUGGGCCCUCGAUGACUCUCUUCUGCCUCUGAGGCAAAGCCACUCAUACGAUGCCCAGCAGCAGGGGGCUGGCAUCCUUUGGGUCAGGGGUCCUCUCAGCAGCAGGCAGAGCCAUUCAGAGUUCAAUCUCCUAAAGACAUUCUGUUCCAGGUUCAAAUCUGGUUCUGCUACUCAUCAGCUGGGGGACCCAGGCAGGUGGCGUAAUCGCUUUGUGUCUCAGUUUCCUCAUCUAUAGGAUGGGGGUAUAUUAGUUUCUUGUGGCUGCUCUAACAGAUUUACAAUUUGUAUAGAAAAUUACCACCUACUCUGUAUGUGGUACCAGAAAUUUGUUCUUUCACAAUUCUGGAGACCAAAAGUCUGAAACGAGAGUCCCUCCAGAGCUCCAGAGGAGCCUGCUUUUGUGGGGGGACUGGAAUUGGCCACCCCAAGAUAUGUCUCUUUGGCAUGAGGAUUAUUUGGGGCUAAUUGCUUUGAUAAACUGGGACAGGGAAGGAGGCUCUGAGGGGUGGAACUUGCUUGCCCUUUGUUAGGACACAUUUACAUUGUAAAGGAAAUCUCUACCUGUAAAUGUGCCUCCCUCUCUGUACCAGGAAGAAGAAAGGGGAUGACCUUCUCUCUAGAAACUCUUAAUCAAUACCAAAGGCAAGGACUUAAAUCUGCAUUUGUUUAUUGUGCUUGUCUGGUAACCUCCUGUAACUGACUCCCCCCACCCCCAGCAUCCUCCUUUGUCUUUAGCUGGAUAUGAUAUUUGGGGUGGUGG
Molecule: long non-coding RNA, 5568 nt
Filed under: Equus caballus (horse)
Lineage: Eukaryota; Metazoa; Chordata; Mammalia; Perissodactyla; Equidae
Description: lncRNA (ENSECAG00000053575.1)
Source: RNAcentral